Long non-coding RNA from Taeniopygia guttata (zebra finch), 3589 nucleotides. The record is from Ensembl. Lineage: Eukaryota; Metazoa; Chordata; Aves; Passeriformes; Estrildidae.
CCAGUUAUUCCCAGUUUCUCCCCCAGUUAUUCCCAGUUAUUCCCAGUUAUUCCCAGUUUCCCCCCGUUAUUCCCAGUUUCCCCCCCCGCCCCCCCCAGCCCCGCCCGGCCCCGCCCCCGGCGCCGCGCGCGCCCCCGGCUCAGCCAAUCAGCGUUCGCGGCCGCGGUCAGAGCCUCAGCUGCCAUGGAGACAGCCGGGGGGCGGGGCCAGCGAGGCCACGCCCAUCGCCUGCCCGCGGGUACGCCCAGAAUGGGCGGGGCCAGACGGGACCACGCCCACAAAGAGGAGGGGGGAGCGAGAAUGGGGCGGGGGGGGACAGAGGGACAGAGGGACAGAGGGACAGAGAGGGGACAGAGGGACAGAGGGACAGAGGGACAGACAGAGGGACAGAGAGGGGACAGAGGGACAGAGGGACAGAGGGACAGACAGAGGGACAGAGGGACAGAGGGACAGACAGAGGGACAGACAGAGGGACAGGGACAGAGGGACAGACAGAGGGACAGACAGAGGGACAGAGGGGACAGAGGGGGACAGAGGGACAGAGGGACAGAGAGGGGACAGAGGGGACAGAGGGGACAGAGGGACAGAGGGACAGAGGGACAGACAGAGGGGACAGAGGGACAGAGGGACAGAGGGACAGAGGGACAGAGGGACAGACAGAGGGGACAGAGGGACAGAGGGGACAGAGGGACAGACGGACAGAGGGACAGACAGAGGGGACAGAGGGACAGACAGAGGGACAGAGGGACAGAGGGACAGAGGGACAGAGAGGGACACAGGGACAGAGGGACAGAGGGACAGAGAGGGGACAGAGGGACAGAGAGGGGACAGAGGGACAGAGGGACAGAGGGACAGAGGGACAGAGGGACAGAGAGGGGACAGAGGGACAGAGGGACAGAGGGACAGAGGGACAGAGGGACAGAGGGACAGAGGGACAGAGGGACACAGGGACAGAGGGACACAGGGACAGAGGGACAGAGGGACAGAGGGACAGAGGGACAGAGGGGACAGAGGGACAGAGGGGACAGAGGGACAGAGAGGGGACAGAGGGACAGAGGGACAGAGGGACAGAGAGGGACAGAGGGACAGAGGGACAGAGGGACAGACAGAGGGACAGAGGGACAGAGGGACAGAGGGACAGAGAGGGGACAAAGGGACACACGAGGUGGCACCGCCCGGGGGUGACAAAAGUGCCACCAACAGGAGGUGCCCCUCCAGAGGGUGACAAAAAUGACCCGAAACGAGGCGGCGGCGCUGGAGAAGGACGCGGAGCUGGACCGGAGAAUCGCCGCCCUGCGCAGGAAGAACGAGGCGCUGGUGCGGCGCUACCAGGUCAGGCCGGGGGCACGACCCCUCCCCAAAAACACCCCCCGGGACCCCCCAAAAAUUCCUCAGGACUCCCCAAAAAAAUCCCCCCCGAGACUCCCAAAAGUCCCCCCGAGACUCCCCAAAAAUUCCUCAGGACUCCCCAAAAAAAUACCCCCCGAGAUCCCCCAAAAAUCCCCCCGGGACCCCCUAAAAAUUCCCCAAAAAUCCCCCCCGAGACUCCCCAAAAAUCCCCCCCGAGACUCCCCAAAAAUCACCCAAAAAUCCCCCAAAAAUUCCUCAGGACUCCCCAAAAAAAUCCCCCCGAGACUCCCCAAAAACCCCCCGGGACCCCCCAAAAAUCUCCCCUGAGAGCCCCAAAAAAUCACCCCAAAAUCCCCCUGAGACUCCCCAAAAAUCCCCCCCGGAUCUCCCAAAAAAACGCCCCCGGGACCCCCCAAAAAUCCCCCCGGGACCCCCCAAAAAAUACCCCCCAUGAUCCCCCCAAAAAUCCCCCCCCGAUCUCCCCAAAAAUCCCCCCCCAGGACCUCCCAAAAAAUACCCCCGAGAUCCCCCCAAAAAUCCCCCCGAGACUCCCUAAAAAUCACCCAAAAAUCCCCCCGGGACCCCCCAAAAAUCCCCCCGAGAUCUCCCCAAAAAUCACCCAAAACCCCCCCCCGGGACCCCUCAAAAAUCUCCCCUGAGAGCCCCAAAAAAUCACCCAAAAAUCCCCCCAAGACUCCCCAAAAAUCCCCCAAAAAUUCCUCAGGACUCCCCCAAAAAUCCCCCCAGAGAUCUCCCCAAAUAUCACCCAAAAAUCCCCCCGGGACCCCCCCAAAAAUUCCUCAGGACUCCCCAAAAAAGUCCCCCCCAAGAUCUCCCCAAAAAUCCCCCUGAAACUCCCCAAAAAUCCCCCCGGGGACCCCCCAAAAAUUCCUCAGGACUCCCCAAAAAAAUCCCCCCCGAGACUCCCCAAAAAUCCCCCCGAGACUCCCCAAAAAUCACCCAAAAGUCACCCAAAAAUCCCCCCAGGACCCCCCAAAAAAAUCCCCCCCCAGAUCUCCCCAAAAAUCCCCCCGAGAUCUCCCCAAAAAUCCCCCAAAAAUCUCCCCAGAAAUUCCUCAGGACCCCCCAAAAAUCCCCCAAAAACCCCCCCCAGGACCCCCCAAAAAUCCCCCCAAGACUCCCCAAAAAUUCCCCUCAAAGUUCUCAGGACCCCCCCAAAAAAUCCCCCCAAAGAUCUCCCCGAAAAUCCCCCCGGGACUCCCCAAAUCCCCCCCAAAAAUCCACAAAAUAAUCCCCAAAAAUUCCCUAAAAAUCCCCAAAAAUUCCUGAAAAACCCCAAAAAUUCCCAAAAAACCCCAAAAAUUCCCAAAGUUCCCCAAAUUCCAGGAGAUGGAGGAGGAUCGGCGCUGGGCUGAGUGCGAGGUGGGGGCUGGGACCCCAAAUCCUCCCCCAAAACCCCCAAAAUAAUUCCUAAAAACCCCAAAAUUUCCCCAAAAAUUCCUGAAAAAACCAAAAAAAAUUCCCAAAAAUUCCCAAAUUUCCCCAAAAUUCCCAAAUUUUCCCCAAAUCCAGGAGAUGGAGGAGGAUCGGCGCCGGGCCGAGCGCAAUGGGGGGGCUGGGACCCCAAAUCCCCCCCUAAAAAACCCAAAAUAAUCCCUAAAAACCCCAAAAAAAACCCAAAAAUUCCUCAGAAAAACCCCAGAAAAUUCCCCAAAAAACCCCAAAAAUUCCCAAAAUUCCCAAAUUUCCCAAAAUUCAGGAGAUGGAGGAGGAUCGGCGCCGGGCCGAGCGCGAGGGAGGGGCUGUGACCCCAAAUCCCCCCCAAAAACCCAAAAUAAUCCCUAAAAACCCCCAAAAUUUCUCAGAAAAACCCCAGAAAAUUCCCAAAAAACCCCAAAAAUUCCCAAAAUUCCCAAAUUUCCCGAAAUCCAGGAGAUCGAGGAGGAUCGGCGGCGGGCCGAGCGCAAUGGGGGGGCUGGGACCCCAAAUCCCCCCCCAAAAAAACCCAAAAUAAUCCAUAAAAACCCCAAAAAAACCCCCAAAAAUUCCUCAGAAAAACCCCAAACAAUUCCCAAAAAACCCCAAAAAUUCCCAAAAAUUCCCAAAUUCCCCAAAAUCCAGGAGAUUGAGGAGGAUCGGCGCCGGGCUGAGCGCGAGGGGGGGGCUGUGACCCCAAAUCCCCCCCUAAAAAACCCCAAAAUAAUCCCUAAAAACCCCAAAAAAAACCCAAAAAUUCCUCAGAAAAACCCCAAAAAAUUCCCAAAAUUCCCAAAAAACC